UUGAAAAUGAAAGUUCUCUAUCCACAGAACAGGUGCAGCAUGGGCUCUGACAGUGGAAGCUUCCCUACAUGAUCCUACCACUAUGCCUCAACAAUGGCUUUCAGGGGACAUUUCUACAGGGGUGUAAUAAUUUGAGAAAUCUAUCUGUACAAUUUAUGGAUUCU
This is an unclassified non-coding RNA of Chrysemys picta bellii (western painted turtle), 164 nucleotides long. The record is from Ensembl. Lineage: Eukaryota; Metazoa; Chordata; Testudines; Emydidae.